AAAUGAAUAGACGGGGGCCCGCACAAGCGGUGGAGUAUGUGGUUUAAUUCGACGCAACGCGAAAAACCUUACCUGGGCUUGAACUGUUAGUGGUAGAAACCGGAAACGGCGACGACCCGCAAGGGAGCUAACAGAGGUGCUGCAUGGCUGUCGUCAGCUCGUGUCGUGAGAUGUUGGGUUAAGUCCCGCAACGAGCGCAACCCUUAUCCCAUGUUACCCGUAGCAAUACGGGGUCUCUGAGGAAACUGCCAUUGAUAAAAUGGAGGAAGGUGGGGACGACGUCAAGUCAUCAUGGCCUUUAUGUCCAGGGCUACACACGUACUACAAUGGUCGGUACAGAGGGCAGCAAUAUCGCAAGAUGGAGCAAAUCCCUAAAAGCCGGCCUCAGUUCAGAUUGUGGGCUGCAAUUCGCCCACAUGAAGUAGGAAUCGCUAGUAAUCGCAGAUCAGAACGCUGCGGUGAAUACGUUCCCGGGCCUUGUACACACCGCCCGU
RNAcentral lists this ribosomal RNA (494 nucleotides) under uncultured bacterium. Its description in RNAcentral is "bacterial SSU rRNA". It matches the Rfam family "Bacterial small subunit ribosomal RNA", at positions 903 to 1397 of the family's 1533-position model. The record is from RNAcentral.